Molecule: long non-coding RNA, 406 nt
Organism: Cercocebus atys (sooty mangabey)
Lineage: Eukaryota; Metazoa; Chordata; Mammalia; Primates; Cercopithecidae
Exons: 3
Source: RefSeq, a predicted model, not a curated record
AUUUCCCAAAAUGCUGGAAUUACAGGCUAAGAACAAAUAACAUGAGAUCUGUCUUCUUAUCAAAUUUCCGUCUCUUCCUUCAGCAGAAGCCAAGUGGAAUUGCAAGUCAUACGAACCUUAGGAUGUCAGAGCAACUGAGACACUGGGGAUCGUCUAGUGUGUUCCCAGCUUUGGACCUCUUUGAGAAUUUGAAAAGAAAGCUAUAAACCCUCCUCGGAAAAAGUAUACAUGCAUUCAGAAUGUUCAUACUGUAUCAGGGGCCUUUUGUUCUUCUGGGCCAAAAAUCAUAACCCAGGUAAGGAACACUUGAUUUAGUCCAACUCUUUCAUUUUGAUAACAAACUGAAUCUCAUAGAAGCCAACUGAUUAACUUAAGAUUCUAUUUAAGCCUACAAAUUAUAUUAUCU